GUGGCUCAGAGGUUAAGAGCACUGACUGUUCUUCCAGAGGUCCUGAGUUCAAUUCUCAGC
This is a transfer RNA of Neotoma lepida (desert woodrat), 60 nucleotides long. It matches the Rfam family "tRNA", at positions 7 to 64 of the family's 71-position model. From Rfam's summary of the family: Transfer RNA (tRNA) molecules are approximately 80 nucleotides in length. Lineage: Eukaryota; Metazoa; Chordata; Mammalia; Rodentia; Cricetidae. The record is from Rfam.